This 468-nucleotide ribosomal RNA is filed under the name uncultured bacterium. Its description in RNAcentral is "partial 16S ribosomal RNA". It matches the Rfam family "Bacterial small subunit ribosomal RNA", at positions 28 to 507 of the family's 1533-position model. The record is from RNAcentral.
GACGAACGCUGGCGGCGUGCUUAACACAUGCAAGUCGAACGGAAAGGCCCUGCUUUUGUGGGGUGCUCGAGUGGCGAACGGGUGAGUAACACGUGAGUAACCUGCCCUUGACUUUGGGAUAACUUCAGGCAACCGGGGCUAAUACCGGAUAGGAGCUCCUGCAGCAUGGUGGGGGUUGGAAAGUUUCGGCGGUUGGGGAUGGACUCUCGGCUUAUCAGCUUGUUGGUGGGGUAGUGGCUUACCAAGGCUUCGACGGGUGGGCGGCCUGGGAGGGUGACCGGCCACAUUAGUACUGAGAUACGGCCCAGACUCGAACGGUAGGCAGCGGGGGAGAAUAUGAUACAAUGGUCGGGCGUCUGUGGCGACAGUGCCGCGUUCGGAAUGACGGCCAUGGGGUUGGAAACCGCAGUCGGCUGAGACGAAGCGUUAGUGACGGUAAUGGGUGAAGAAGCACCGGCUAACUACGUG